AGAGAAACUCUUAACGCGGCUAGUGAAGAAACUCAACUAGCGUCGCAAGUGUAAGUUUUCUACCUGCUAUAGAGGGCUACAAGUCGCAUUCACGAAAACAAAACGGGAAAAGGAAAACCAAACAGUGACAAAGAAAUCAGAGUGUAAGACGGAAAUUUCCCCGUGAAGUCUGGAACGCAAAUAGUAGAAUUCUACUUCCUGUUUUUAUACCGCCUCGUUU
Daphnia pulicaria is the source of this 220-nucleotide long non-coding RNA. RefSeq lists it as uncharacterized. The record is from RefSeq and is a predicted model, not a curated record. Lineage: Eukaryota; Metazoa; Arthropoda; Branchiopoda; Diplostraca; Daphniidae. The transcript is spliced from 2 exons.